Molecule: ribosomal RNA, 591 nt
Filed under: [Candida] sp.
Lineage: Eukaryota; Fungi; Ascomycota; Saccharomycetes; Saccharomycetales
Description: Candida sp. (in: Saccharomycetales) partial large subunit ribosomal RNA
Rfam family: Eukaryotic large subunit ribosomal RNA
Source: RNAcentral
ACAGGGGCAUUGCCUUAGUAGCGGCGAGUGAAGCGGCAAAAGCUCAAAUUUGAAAUCUGGCACUUUCAGUGUCCGAGUUGUAAUUUGAAGAAGGUAUCUUUGGGUCUGGCUCUUGUCUAUGUUUCUUGGAACAGAACGUCACAGAGGGUGAGAAUCCCGUGCGAUGAGAUGUCCCAGACCUAUGUAAAGUUCCUUCGAAGAGUCGAGUUGUUUGGGAAUGCAGCUCUAAGUGGGUGGUAAAUUCCAUCUAAAGCUAAAUAUUGGCGAGAGACCGAUAGCGAACAAGUACAGUGAUGGAAAGAUGAAAAGAACUUUGAAAAGAGAGUGAAAAAGUACGUGAAAUUGUUGAAAGGGAAGGGCUUGAGAUCAGACUUGGUAUUUUGUAUGUUACUCUCUCGGGGGUGGCCUCUACAGUUUACCGGGCCAGCAUCAGUUUGGGCGGUAGGACAAUUGCAAAGAAAUGUGGCACUGCCUCGGUAGUGUGUUAUAGUCUUUGUCGAUACUGCCAGCCUAGACUGAGGACUGCGGCUUCGGCCUAGGAUGUUGGCAUAAUGAUCUUAAGUCGCCCGUCUUGAAAMAMGGRACMCAAAA